UAGGGAAUCUUCGGCAAUGGACGAAAGUCUGACCGAGCAACGCCGCGUGAGUGAAGAAGGUUUUCGGAUCGUAAAACUCUGUUGGUAGAGAAGAACGUUGGUGAGAGUGGAAAGCUCAUCAAGUGACGGUAACUACCCAGAAAGGGACGGCUGACUACGUGCCAC
RNAcentral lists this ribosomal RNA (165 nucleotides) under uncultured bacterium. RNAcentral describes it as "partial 16S rRNA". It matches the Rfam family "Bacterial small subunit ribosomal RNA", at positions 355 to 511 of the family's 1533-position model. The record is from RNAcentral.